ACUACAUAUCAAUAAGCGGGAGGAAAAGAAACCAACAGGGAUUGCCUCAGUAACGGCGAGUGAAGCGGCAUCAGCUCAAAUUUGAAAUCUGGCUCUUUUAGAGUCCGAGUUGUAAUUUGCAGAGGGCGCUUUGGCAUAGGCAGCGAUUCAAGUCCCUUGGAACAGGGCGUCACAGAGGGUGAGAAUCCCGUACGUGGUCGCUAGCUCUUGCCGUGUAAAGCCCCUUCGACGAGUCGAGUUGUUUGGGAAUGCAGCUCUAAAUGGGAGGUAAAUUUCUUCUAAAGCUAAAUAUUGGCCAGAGACCGAUAGCGCACAAGUAGAGUGAUCGAAAGAUGAAAAGCACUUUGGAAAGAGAGUCAAAAAGCACGUGAAAUUGUUGAAAGGGAAGCGCUUGCAGCCAGACUUGCCUGUAGUUGCUCAUCCGGGCUCUUGCCCGGUGCACUCUUCUGUAGGCAGGCCAGCAUCAGUUUGGGCGGUUGGAUAAAGGUCUCUGUCAUGUACCUCUCUUCGGGGAGGCCUUAUAGGGGAGACGACAUACAACCAGCCUGGACUGAGGUCCGCGCAUUCGUGCUAGGAUGCUGGCGUAAUGGCUGUAAGCGGCCCGUCUUGAAACACGGACCAAGGAGUCUAACAUCUAUGCGAGUGUUUGGGUGUCAAGCCCGAGCGCGUAAUGAAAGUGAACGGAGGUGGGAACCCUUUUUUGGGUGCACCAUCGACCGAUCCUGAAGUUUUCGGAAGGAUUUGAGUAAGAGCAUGGCUGUUGGGACCCGAAAGAUGGUGAACUAUGCUUGAAUAGGGUGAAGCCAGAGGAAACUCUGGUGGAGGCUCGCAGCGGUUCUGACGUGCAAAUCGAUCGUCAAAUUUGGGCAUAGGGGCGAAAGACUAAUCGAACUAUCUAGUAGCUGGUUCCUGCGAGUUU
Molecule: ribosomal RNA, 919 nt
Filed under: Comoclathris arrhenatheri
Lineage: Eukaryota; Fungi; Ascomycota; Dothideomycetes; Pleosporales; Pleosporaceae
Description: partial 28S ribosomal RNA
Rfam family: Eukaryotic large subunit ribosomal RNA
Source: RNAcentral